AUAGAUGCGUCUAUUAAUCCA
Molecule: non-coding RNA, 21 nt
Filed under: Arabidopsis thaliana (thale cress)
Lineage: Eukaryota; Viridiplantae; Streptophyta; Magnoliopsida; Brassicales; Brassicaceae
Source: RNAcentral